RNAcentral lists this ribosomal RNA (293 nucleotides) under uncultured bacterium. Its description in RNAcentral is "partial 16S ribosomal RNA". The record is from RNAcentral.
GGACUACUGGGGUAUCUAAUCCUGUUUGCUACCCACGCUUUCGCUGCUCAGUGUCAGUCACCUUCCAGGUUGCCGCCUUCGCCUCUGGUGUUCCUCCCGAUAUCUACGAAUUUCACCUCUACACCGGGAAUUCCGCAACCCUCUCCGGCACUCAAGCCCAGCCAGUUUCGCGCGCACUUUCCCGGUUGAGCCGGGAGCUUUCACACGCGACUUGACAGGCCACCUACCAGCGCUUUACGCCCAAUAAUUCCGAACAACGCUCGCACCCUCUGUAUUACCGCGGCUGCUGGCAC